CCUAUUUAACCUCACACCAGCUCAGUGGGGAGACAAGGUCAUUCUCUCCUAAUAGAUGAGGAAACUGAGGCUCAUAUCAGACACAUAGUUUCUAUUGGCCAGGAUUUGGUAGCAGAUAAGCCUUUGGCUUGGAGUCUCUCAUGACUGCUGUCAGUUGAGAGGUCAGCUGGGACUACAGUCAUCUGAGGAUCUGCUUCCACUGUGGCUUAUUAACAUCAUGGUUCAGGUUAAGGAGGAAGAAGAGGCAAGAGCAACCCCUGGACCAACUAAAGCCUGAGUUUUGCUGCAUCCCCACGAUCAGCGCCUACAUCCCACCACCACUGCCACCAUGCCCAAGAGAAAGGCUGAGGGGGAUGCUAAGGGAGAUAAAGUGAAGGCAAAGGAUGAACCCCAGAGAAAGAUCUGCAAGGUUAUCUGCUAAACCUGCUCGUCCAAAGCCAGAGCCCAAGACUAAAAAGGCCCCUGCAAGGAAGGGAGAGAAGGUCCCCAAAGGGAAAAAGGGAAAAGCUGACACUGGCAAGGAGGGAAUAACCCUGCAUAAAAUGGAGAUGCCAACACAGACCGGGCACAGAAAGCUGCAGGUGCUGGAGACGCCAAGUGAAGUGUGUGCAUUUUUGUGAUAACUGCGGACUUCUGGUGACUGUACAGUUUGAAAUACUAUUUUUUUUUAUCAAGUUUUAUAAAAAUGCAGAAUUUUGUUUUACUUUUUUUUUUGAAACAGAGCCUCAAGCUGUCACCCUGGGGAUAGUGCUGUGGCAACACAGCUCACAGCAACCUCUAACUCCUGGGCUCAAGCAAUUCUCUUGCCUCAGCCUCCCAAGUAGCUGGGACUGCAGGCACCCGCCACAAUGCCUGGCUAUUUUUUUUUUUUUUUUUGGUUGUAGUUAUCAUUGUUGUUUGGCAGGCCUGGGCUGGAUUUGAACCCACCGUCUCUGGUAUUUGUGGCUGGCACCUUAGCCACUUGAGCUAUAGGCGCUGAACCUUUACUUUUUUUUUUUUUUUUUUAAGCUAUGUUGUUAGCAUACAGAACACUUCAUUGUUUGGGGGGGAAGGGGCAUAUGUCACAAACAGAAUGUCUCCAAAGCUAGAUUGAUAUGAAGGAAAAUGUCUUUUUCCUCUAGUUUUGAGCGACUUCCUCUUGGCUGCCAAGAGGAGGGAUUCCCUGAUGUUGACACACAGCCACCUUGGCACAAAUGCUUUGUGGUAUGAAAAAACUAAUUUGUUUUUAUGUCCUAUUCGCUCUCUGCCUUCUGCCUAAUCUUAACUCCCUUAAAUCCAGUCACCUCUUGGGAUCUGACCUCCAAUAAUUGUAUGUCAAGAAAUCUGGACUUUUCCAAUAACACCACUGAGAUGGCAGCCCUCAAAAGAGCAGUGGUUCCAUUUACAGAUUGCUGGAUCUUCAGAUAAAUUCUGCCAUUUUCAUUUCAUUUCCUGAAAGUCAGGGUUGGCUUGUGAAAAGUUGUUAAACAACAUGCUAAAUGUGAAAUAUCAACCCUUCUCUGAACUUCUCUGUUCAAAGCAUCAAAUGAAGAUUUCACUGGGUUUUAUAGUGGCUUUCUGAUUUUUAGUAGACCAUUGAAGAAGGGAGUUUGAAUGUUGUUGUGUACUGUUAAUGAUUAUCUUUCUGUGUCCUGCCUGAAAUAUAAUGAUUAUUUAUGAA
Long non-coding RNA from Nycticebus coucang (slow loris), 1660 nucleotides. RefSeq lists it as uncharacterized. NCBI's taxonomy places the organism in Eukaryota, Metazoa, Chordata, Mammalia, Primates, Lorisidae. The transcript is spliced from 3 exons. The record is from RefSeq and is a predicted model, not a curated record.